CGUGGAGUGGUGAUUGGAUCCUAGAUGAGGAGGGCGGGAUCAAAUCUUGCCCUGAGCUUUGAUUGGCCGCCGCUAGGUUGCCUACAGAAGCUCUUCCAGGGUACUGAGGUUUUCUGGAAUCACUUAAAGGCUACGAGCGCGGGGUCCACCGGCUCCGGGAUGCCAUUGGCUGCUGGAUUGGCGCAGGCGCUAUGGCUCCCGGGUCGGCGUUCGGAGUUGCUGAGGCAGGGCUUUGGCUACUGGACACUGUAGGUUCGAAUCCCAUCUAGGAACUUCAGUUUGCGCACCUGUAAAAGAAGCUGGUAUUAUUGGCUGGCACAGAAUGUGUUGGGACUUGAAGACUCUGAUCUGCUUGGUGGUGAAUAUCCCAGAGUGAGGUGUCUGAGCUCUUUGUUUUUAGGUCCCUGAUCCGUUUGUGGGUAUAUGAAUCACAUAUGAGUUCCCUGAUUAGUUUGUGGGUAUGUGUCUCCCAGGACAUCAUGUCUCGACUGAUCUAUGCAUGUACAUCUCUGUUCAGCUGAAUACUGGCCUUCAAUAAUAUCCCCGUCUCAGUCCCUAGUGAAAGUGUUAGUCAUUGAGUCAUGUCUGACUCUGCAACCCCAGGCUCCUCUGUCCAUGGGAUUCUUUAGGCAAGAAUACUGGAGUGGGUUGCCAUUUCCUUCUCCAGGGGAUCUUCCUGACCCAGGGAUCGAACCUGGGUCUCCUGCACUGCAGGCAGAUUCUUUACCAUCUGAGCCACCUGGGAAGCCUGUGACUAUGUUAACUUUCUGGCAGAAGGGACUUUGCAGAUUUGAUUAAGUUAAUCACCAGGAGGCUGGGAGUUUAUCCUGGAUUAUCCAUGUGGGCCCAGUGUAGUCACUAAGGUCCUUACGUGUGGGAGGCACGAUGGUGAGAGUCAGAAAUGACACUGUGACAAUGCAGGCUGUCUAAGAAGGUGAUGUAAUGAUGGAAGCAGAGUUGGAGAAGGAGAUUUGACAGCUGAAACAGAGAGAAGAGAGAUCAGAGAGACAUUUGAAGAUGAAACGCUGCUGGCUUUGAAGAUGGAGGAAGGGACCAUGAACCAAGGACUGCAGACAGCCUCUAAAACUGGAAAAUGAAAGGAAGUGCAUUUUCCUGGAGCUUCCUGGAGGGAAGUAGCUCUGCUGACAACUUGACUUUAUCUCUGUAAGACUCAAUUUUAGGUCUCUGACCUAUAGAAGUGUAAGAUAAUAAAUUAGUGUUGUUUUACAAUACCAA
Molecule: long non-coding RNA, 1236 nt
Organism: Bos taurus (domestic cattle)
Lineage: Eukaryota; Metazoa; Chordata; Mammalia; Artiodactyla; Bovidae
Source: Ensembl